RNAcentral lists this ribosomal RNA (253 nucleotides) under uncultured bacterium. RNAcentral describes it as "partial 16S ribosomal RNA". It matches the Rfam family "Bacterial small subunit ribosomal RNA", at positions 524 to 776 of the family's 1533-position model. The record is from RNAcentral.
UACGUAGGAUGCAAGCGUUGUCCGGAAUUAUUGGGCGUAAAGAGCGCGCAGGCGGUCUAUCAAGUCAGAUGUGAAAUAUCCGGGCUUAACCCGGAGGGGUCAUUUGAAACUGGUAGACUAGAGUACAGCAGAGGAUAGCGGAAUUCCCGGUGUAGUGGUGAAAUGCGUAGAUAUCAGGAGGAACACCAAUGGCGAAGGCAAUCCCCUGGACCUGUACUGACGCUCAUGCACGAAAGCGUGGGGAGCAAACAGG